UCCAGGUCCCCGCGGCGGCUGUAGGAGAGUGACAGCUGGACCUGCACGUGCUCGAGCGAGCGGAUGAGGCGGUGCGAGCCAUCGGAGCACGCGGACACGUUCUUCCUCACCAGCAUCCGAGGCAGGAUGGAGCUGGUAAGCCACACGCGAGCCAGGUCCACCAGCAGCCCUGCGUCCAGCAGCCCGUAGCCGUAGUGGUGGCUCACUGCGCGGGAGGGGUGGCCGUCACUCGCCCUGCAUGCACGGCACCCCGGUCCCCUCCCUGGCCCCGCCGCACCUUGGCGCCCCACGCCGUUGAUCCUCCAGUCCUCCGCCUGCAGCUGCGCCGGCCUGGACGCGCGGACCACCAGGUGCUGUAGGUCCCUCCAGAGCCAGAGCGAUUAUGCCAGCGGCCAGCGGGGCGGAGGCCGAGGUGCCCGUGUGUUUGUCGGUACACUGGUGGUGCAGAUCCGUGGUGACCUGGUGACAGACAGCAGAGGGAUCUUGAGCCCAGUGCGCGGCCCAGAUGGAGGAUUUGUUUGGAAGGUACUGGGGACUAAGUUCACAAAGUGCUGAAGAUUGAGCUAAGUAUGAAGACACCAAGGACUAAGCUCAAAGGGUACUAAAAGCCCCAACCAGGCCCGGUAAUGCAGGCGCUCAAACCCAGCACUUGUGGAGCUGUGGCAGGCGUAGCUGGGACUUCUAGGCUAGCCUGGUUUAUGUAUGGUGAAUACGAAUGACUAAGUUUAACAAGUACUGAGGACUGAGCUCAACAAUUACUAAGGGCCGAGGUUUAAAACUGCUAAGGACUAGUUUCCAAAACCACCGAGCACUGAGUUCAUAAUGAUACAUGGCCCUACAUCUAAAAACAAAAAACAAAAAACAAAAACAAAAAAAAAAAAAAAAAAACGAAAACCAGCCCGGCAGUGGUGGCGGCGCACUCCUUUAAUCCCAGCCCUUGGGAGGCAAGAACAGUCAACUCUCUGAGUUCGGGACCAGCCUGCUCUACAGAGCAAGUUCCAAGACCGCCAGGGCGGUUACACAGAGAAAUCCUGACUCGAAAACACCAAGAAAAGAAAAAGUGCCAAAUUCUGAGACUUUAGCCUGGGGGACAGAGGCGCGAAGGCAGGAAGCACAACUGCAGACACCAGGUGGGUAGGGGGCAGAGGCCCCGUGUGUGACGUGUGGCGGGCGAGACCAGGGAGUCGACUCCAGCAGAGGCAUUGGCGCGGAUCUUGCCCAGGGAGGCAGAGGAGUUGCUAAGUGGGCCGACAUGGUU
Long non-coding RNA from Chionomys nivalis (European snow vole), 1258 nucleotides. RefSeq lists it as uncharacterized. The transcript has 3 exons. NCBI's taxonomy places the organism in Eukaryota, Metazoa, Chordata, Mammalia, Rodentia, Cricetidae. The record is from RefSeq and is a predicted model, not a curated record.